UGGGGAAUAUUGCGCAAUGGCCGAAAGGCUGACGCAGCGACGCCGCGUGGGGGAUGAAGCAUUUCGGUGUGUAAACCCCUGUUGCCCGGGACGAACAAGCAGAUUUUUCUGCUCUGACGGUACCGGGUGAGGAAGCACCGGCUAACUCCGUGCCAGCAGCCGCGGUAAUACGGAGGGUGCGAGCGUUGUCCGGAAUCACUGGGCGUAAAGGGCGCGUAGGCGGUCUGCUAAGCGUGCGGUGAAAGCCCGGGGCUCAACCCCGGGUCUGCCGUGCGAACUGGUGGACUAGAGCACUGUAGAGGCAGGUGGAAUUCCGGGUGUAGCGGUGGAAUGCGUAGAGAUCCGGAAGAACACCGGUCGCGAAGGCGGCCUGCUGGGCAGUAGCUGACGCUGAGGCGCGACAGCGUGGGG
RNAcentral lists this ribosomal RNA (411 nucleotides) under uncultured bacterium. RNAcentral describes it as "bacterial SSU rRNA". It matches the Rfam family "Bacterial small subunit ribosomal RNA", at positions 355 to 766 of the family's 1533-position model. The record is from RNAcentral.